GACGAACGCUGGCGGCGGGCUUAACACAUGAAAGUCGAACGGAAAGGCCCUGCGUUUGUGGGGUGCUCGAGUGGCGAACGGGUGAGUAUCACGUGAGGAACCGUCCCGUGACUUUGGUAUAACUUCAGGAAACUGGGGCUAAUACCGGAUAGGAGUUACUGGUGCAUGGUGGGGGUUGGAUAGUUUCGGCGGUUGGGGGUGGACUCGCGGCUAAUCAGCUUGGUGGUGGGGUAGUGGCUUACCAAGGCUUUGACGGGUAGCCGGCCUGGGAGGGUGACCGGCCACAUUGGGACUGAGAUACGGCCCAGACUCCUACGGGAGGCAGCAGUGGGGAAUAUUGCACAAUGGGCGGAAGCCUGAUGCAGCAACGCCGCGUGCGGGAUGACGGCCUUCGGGUUGUAAACCGCUUUCGCCUGUGACGAAGCGUGAGUGACGGUAAUGGGUAAAGAAGCACCGGCUAACUACGUG
RNAcentral lists this ribosomal RNA (468 nucleotides) under uncultured bacterium. RNAcentral describes it as "partial 16S ribosomal RNA". It matches the Rfam family "Bacterial small subunit ribosomal RNA", at positions 28 to 507 of the family's 1533-position model. The record is from RNAcentral.